ACAGCAGUCGCCGCGGUAAUACGGAGGGAGCUAGCGUUGUUCGGAAUUACUGGGCGUAAAGCGCGCGUAGGCGGUUACUCAAGUCAGAGGUGAAAGCCCGGGGCUCAACCCCGGAACUGCCUUUGAAACUAGGUGACUAGAAUCUUGGAGAGGUCAGUGGAAUUCCGAGUGUAGAGGUGAAAUUCGUAGAUAUUCGGAAGAACACCAGUGGCGAAGGCGACUGACUGGACAAGUAUUGACGCUGAGGUGCGAAAGCGUGGGGAGCAAACAGGAUUAGAUACCCGGGUAGUCCCUGUCUCUUAUAC
This 305-nucleotide ribosomal RNA is filed under the name uncultured bacterium. RNAcentral's name for it is "partial 16S ribosomal RNA". It matches the Rfam family "Bacterial small subunit ribosomal RNA", at positions 508 to 807 of the family's 1533-position model. The record is from RNAcentral.